RNAcentral lists this Y RNA (95 nucleotides) under Aotus nancymaae (Ma's night monkey). RNAcentral describes it as "Y RNA (ENSANAG00000006855.1)". It matches the Rfam family "Y RNA". Rfam says of the family: Y RNAs are components of the Ro ribonucleoprotein particle (Ro RNP), in association with Ro60 and La proteins. The Y RNAs and Ro60 and La proteins are well conserved, but the function of the Ro RNP is not known. Lineage: Eukaryota; Metazoa; Chordata; Mammalia; Primates; Aotidae. The record is from Rfam by way of RNAcentral.
UGCUGGUCCGAUGGUAGUGGGUUAUCAGAACUUAUUAACAUUAGUGUUACUAAAGUUGGUAUACAACCCCCCACUGCUAAAUUUGACUGGCUUAA